Molecule: ribosomal RNA, 255 nt
Filed under: uncultured bacterium
Lineage: Bacteria
Description: partial 16S ribosomal RNA
Rfam family: Bacterial small subunit ribosomal RNA
Source: RNAcentral
UACGAAGGGGGCUAGCGUUGCUCGGAAUCACUGGGCGUAAAGCGCACGUAGGCGGCUUUCUAAGUCAGGGGUGAAAUCCUGGAGCUCAACUCCAGAACUGCCUUUGAUACUGGAGAGCUUGAGUCCGGGAGAGGUGAGUGGAACUCCGAGUGUAGAGGUGAAAUUCGUAGAUAUUCGGAAGAACACCGGUGGCGAAGGCGGCCUGCUGGGCAGUUUAGCUGACACUGAGGCGCGACAGCGUGGGGAGCAAACAGG